GGUGGGGUACUAUUCAGUGGUAGAGUGCAUGCUUAGCAUGCAUAAGGUCCUGGGUUCAAUCCUCAGCAUCUCCA
RNAcentral lists this transfer RNA (74 nucleotides) under Camelus bactrianus (Bactrian camel). It matches the Rfam family "tRNA". From Rfam's summary of the family: Transfer RNA (tRNA) molecules are approximately 80 nucleotides in length. Lineage: Eukaryota; Metazoa; Chordata; Mammalia; Artiodactyla; Camelidae. RNAcentral also lists the same sequence under 3 other names. The record is from Rfam by way of RNAcentral.